UACGAAGGGGGCUAGCGUUGUUCGGAAUUACUGGGCGUAAAGCGCACGUAGGCGGAUCGAUCAGUCAGGGGUGAAAUCCCAGGGCUCAACCCUGGAACUGCCUUUGAUACUGUCGAUCUGGAGUAUGGAAGAGGUGAGUGGAAUUCCGAGUGUAGAGGUGAAAUGCGUAGAGAUCCGGAGGAACACCGAAGGCGAAGGCAGUCUCCUGGCAAGUUACUGACGCUCAGGUGCGAAAGCUAGGGGAGCGAACAGG
RNAcentral lists this ribosomal RNA (253 nucleotides) under uncultured bacterium. RNAcentral describes it as "partial 16S ribosomal RNA". It matches the Rfam family "Bacterial small subunit ribosomal RNA", at positions 524 to 776 of the family's 1533-position model. The record is from RNAcentral.